Molecule: transfer RNA, 77 nt
Filed under: Candidatus Ryanbacteria bacterium RIFCSPHIGHO2_01_FULL_48_27
Lineage: Bacteria; Candidatus Ryaniibacteriota
Also listed under: 2 other names
Description: tRNA-Ile
Rfam family: tRNA
About the family: Transfer RNA (tRNA) molecules are approximately 80 nucleotides in length. Their secondary structure includes four short double-helical elements and three loops (D, anti-codon, and T loops).
Source: RNAcentral
GGGUGUGUAGCUCAGCUGGUUAGAGCACUUCACUGAUAAUGAAGAGGUCGGAGGUUCGAGUCCUCCCACACCCACCA